Molecule: long non-coding RNA, 134 nt
Organism: Lepidothrix coronata (blue-crowned manakin)
Lineage: Eukaryota; Metazoa; Chordata; Aves; Passeriformes; Pipridae
Exons: 3
Source: RefSeq, a predicted model, not a curated record
CCUAACUCUUAUUCUGUACCCAAGCAACCUGUAAUUGUGAAAGCAAAGUUCUUCAGUAGAAGAACAGAUGGGAAGAUCCAAGAAAUUGCUAGUGCCUUGGCUUUUGUGGCAUAAAAGUUUUUGUUUUAUUCAAA